Molecule: non-coding RNA, 28 nt
Filed under: Mus musculus (house mouse)
Lineage: Eukaryota; Metazoa; Chordata; Mammalia; Rodentia; Muridae
Source: RNAcentral
GCAAGGUGAUGGACAGGAGCUUGUUGGU